This 253-nucleotide ribosomal RNA is filed under the name uncultured bacterium. Its description in RNAcentral is "partial 16S ribosomal RNA". It matches the Rfam family "Bacterial small subunit ribosomal RNA", at positions 524 to 776 of the family's 1533-position model. The record is from RNAcentral.
GACGUAGGGUGCGAGCGUUGUCCGGACUUAUUGGGCGUAAAGAGCUCGUAGGCGGCUCGUCGCGUCGACCGUGAAAACUUGGGGCUUAACCCUAAGCUUGCGGUUGAUACGGGCGGGCUAGAGUUCGGUAGGGGAGACUGGAAUUCCUGGUGUAGCGGUGAAAUGCGCAGAUAUCAGGAGGAACACCGGUGGCGAAGGCGGGUCUCUGGGCCGAUACUGACGCUGAGACGCGAAAGCGUGGGGAGCGAACAGG